This 373-nucleotide ribosomal RNA is filed under the name uncultured organism. Its description in RNAcentral is "partial 16S ribosomal RNA". It matches the Rfam family "Bacterial small subunit ribosomal RNA", at positions 527 to 896 of the family's 1533-position model. The record is from RNAcentral.
GUAGGUGGCAAGCGUUGUCCGGAAUUAUUGGGCGUAAAGCGCGCGCAGGCGGUUCUUUAAGUCUGAUGUGAAAGCCCACGGGCUCAACCGUGGAGGGUCAUUGGAAACUGGAGAACUUGAGUACAGAAGAGGAAAACGGAAUUCCACGUGUAGCGGUGAAAUGCGUAGAGAUGUGGAGGAACACCAGUGGCGAAGGCGGCUUUCUGGUCUGUAACUGACGCUGAGGCGCGAAAGCGUGGGGAGCAAACAGGAUUAGAUACCCUGGUAGUCCACGCCGUAAACGAUGAGUGCUAAGUGUUAGGGGGUUUCCGCCCCUUAGUGCUGCAGCUAACGCAUUAAGCACUCCGCCUGGGGAGUACGGCCGCAAAGGCUG